AGAAUCAACGCUGGCGGCGCGCCUAACACAUGCAAGUCGCACGAGAAAGGGGCUUCGGCCCUGAGUAAAGUGGCGCACGGGUGAGUAACACGUGAAUCAUCUACCUUCGAGUGGGGAAUAACUGAGAGAAAUCUUAGCUAAUACCGCAUAAUACCUACGGGUCAAAGCAGCAAUGCGCUUGAAGAGGAGUUCGCGGCAGAUUAGUUAGUUGGCGGGGUAAUGGCCCACCAAGACGAUGAUCUGUA
RNAcentral lists this ribosomal RNA (245 nucleotides) under uncultured bacterium. Its description in RNAcentral is "partial small subunit ribosomal RNA". It matches the Rfam family "Bacterial small subunit ribosomal RNA", at positions 26 to 285 of the family's 1533-position model. The record is from RNAcentral.